RNAcentral lists this ribosomal RNA (434 nucleotides) under uncultured bacterium. RNAcentral's name for it is "partial 16S ribosomal RNA". It matches the Rfam family "Bacterial small subunit ribosomal RNA", at positions 29 to 507 of the family's 1533-position model. The record is from RNAcentral.
AACGAACGCUGGCGGCAUGCCUAACACAUGCAAGUCGAACGAACCGUUCGGGAGUAGUGGCGUACGAGGGAGUAGCACGUGGGAACAUUCACUUAGGGUCGAAAUAACUCUGGGAAAGGGGUGCUAAUACCGAAUGGGCGCUUCGGGCGGAAGAUUCAUCGAAUUUAGAGGGGCACGCGUCUGAUUAGCUAGUUGGGUGAGGUAAAGGCUCACCAGGGCGACAAUCAGUAGUUGGUAUGUGAGGCUGAUCACCCACACUGGAACUGAGACACGGCACGGACUCCUACGGGAGGCAGCAGUGCGGAAUGUUGCAAAAUGGGCGAAAGGCUGAAGCAGCUAUGCCGCGUGAAUGAUGAAGGUCUUAGGAUUGUAAAAUUCUUUUAACGGUGAAGAUCAUGACGGUACCUGGAGAAGAAGCCCCGGCUAACUUCGUG